CUCACUGCAUCGGGACUUUUUAAUUCUUCAGACACAACAAGGGUUUUUAGCUUUAAGCCUGUGCAUGUGGACAGUACCUUGAGAACAUGCUUGGAGGGGCAGUGUACAGGUGCUCUAUUUUAAUGGAAAAAACACUCCCCUCCCCCUUUCUUCUUCUCUCUCUUUUUUCUGAUCGGUCGUGUUUGUAGAAAAUUCCUAACAUAUAUAGGCCAAGGAGAUCUGCAUGUAUUUUUGGAAAUAUUCUUGGCUCUAGAUUUAACAGCUCUUUUAGCACUAUAGGCUGAUGGGUGGAUUAGCCACCCCGGCUCUUUUCACAAGACACAAAGACAUGCACAGGAGUUCAAAACCCUGAGCUGUUUCUCUGUUCCACUUUCCUUGUUGCUAUUUUCCCCUUCUAAGUUAUCUUGGGGAGCUCUGUUGGCUGACAGCGGUCACAAGGUGGCCUUCUCCAUUCUGAGUGGCCAUAGGGACAAAGAAGCAACUUCAGGCUCCAUGGAUGCAGGCAGAAUAGUGCCUUUUCUUCCCAAACACGUUGCUAGAUUCUGGACUUUCAUCCUGAUGUUCCUUAAAAACUGACCUCGCCUCUGCCAACCCUGCCUCCACCACCCAAAGUUUCUGAUGUCUG
This 625-nucleotide long non-coding RNA is filed under the name Bos taurus (domestic cattle). RNAcentral describes it as "long non-coding RNA NONBTAT016170". Lineage: Eukaryota; Metazoa; Chordata; Mammalia; Artiodactyla; Bovidae. The record is from RNAcentral.